UACGUAGGGUGCGAGCGUUGUCCGGAAUUACUGGGCGUAAAGAGCUCGUAGGUGGUUUGUCGCGUUGUUCGUGAAAACUCACACUCAAUUGUGGGCGUGCGGCGAUACGGGCAGACUGGAGUACUGCAGGGGAGACUGGAAUUCCUGGUGUAGCGGUGGAAUGCGCAGAUAUCAGGAGGAACACCGGUGGCGAAGGCGGGUCUCUGGGCAGUAACUGACGCUGAGGAGCGAAAGCGUGGGGAGCGAACAGG
RNAcentral lists this ribosomal RNA (251 nucleotides) under uncultured bacterium. RNAcentral's name for it is "partial 16S ribosomal RNA". It matches the Rfam family "Bacterial small subunit ribosomal RNA", at positions 524 to 776 of the family's 1533-position model. The record is from RNAcentral.